GGUUGGGUCUUUGAUUUCGUGUAGUAAUUUCUAUACGUUUUAUGAAUUUUUGUGUAUAAUUUUGGUCGAUUGCUAUUGUUUUAUUUUCUGGGUUUUGCUUUGUUCCUGGAAUAUGAUCGCAAUUCGAUAUGGGUAGGCAAAAUUCACUGUCAAAUGAAAAUGUGGGAUCUUUUAUUUCCAACACUGAACAGUUGAAGGUUGUUUUGUUGCUUUAGUUUAUAAACUAUUUUUGGCCCCG
This 238-nucleotide unclassified non-coding RNA is filed under the name Hevea brasiliensis (rubber tree). Lineage: Eukaryota; Viridiplantae; Streptophyta; Magnoliopsida; Malpighiales; Euphorbiaceae. The record is from RNAcentral.